UGGAAAACAAAAAUUAGAUUCCCCUUAUGAGAAGGGAGAGGAACUGCUAACAUCCUUAUUUCCUCCUCAUAUAUACUUUGCAUCUCAUCCAUCUGUUCUUUGUUCAAUGUACUUUGUUCUCACUCACACACUUUCUGUCCCCACACAUCAACACGAGGCUUUUCAAUGUACUUUGUCCUCACUCACACACUUUUUGGGAAAACUUCCCAGAAGGUCACCCAUCCCUAAAUUACUCCAGGC
RNAcentral lists this long non-coding RNA (240 nucleotides) under Vigna radiata. RNAcentral's name for it is "long non-coding RNA (VRAD_LNC001587)". The record is from RNAcentral. Lineage: Eukaryota; Viridiplantae; Streptophyta; Magnoliopsida; Fabales; Fabaceae.